GACAGAGGUCCCGAGCGUUAGGCGGAAUCACUGGGCUUAAAGCGUGUGUAGGCGGAUCGUUAAGUGCCUUGUGAAAUCCCACGGCUCAACCGUGGAACUGCUUGGUAUACUGGCGAUCUUGAGCCACCUAGGGGCAACCGGAACAAAUGGUGGAGCGGUGAAAUGCGUAGAUAUCAUUUGGAACGCCAAUGGUGAAAACAGGUUGCUGGGGGUGUGCUGACGCUGAGACACGAAAGCCAGGGGAGCGAACGGG
This 253-nucleotide ribosomal RNA is filed under the name uncultured bacterium. RNAcentral's name for it is "partial 16S ribosomal RNA". It matches the Rfam family "Bacterial small subunit ribosomal RNA", at positions 524 to 776 of the family's 1533-position model. The record is from RNAcentral.